GCUGCACCUGCAUGAGAGCUGCGUGCUGUCCCUGAAAUUUGCUUACUGUAAAUGGUUUGUGAGUACUGGAAAAGAUAACCUCCUCAAUGCUUGGCGGACCCCCUAUGGAGCCAGCAUAUUCCAGUCCAAAGAGUCCUCGUCAGUGCUUAGCUGUGACAUCUCUGUGGAUGAUAAGUACAUAGUCACUGGCUCGGGGGACAAGAAGGCUACAGUCUAUGAAGUCAUCUACUGAAAACAUUAUGUGGUUUAACGUUUAUAGUUGAAUUGGGCCAAAAUGUUUCGAAUUUAUAGAAAUAGAAAAGUUGUAACUUUAAAAGAGAAAAAAAAUUACAAACACCUGUUUCCAAACCUUGACAGAAAACUACUUUGAGUCUACAAAGAGGAGGCGACAAGUCCAUCAGCAGAAAGUCACCUGUCUACAUAGACCAAAUGGAGCACCAAGGCCAAGCGGACAGAGGGGCCAUGGGUUGUAGGAUUGAGGAACGGAAUCUGCCGACUCACAUGACAGCCCAUUCUUUCUUUCUGGGUGAUCUGGGGAUCACGCCUUGCCCAAGUGUGAGAUUACCUUUCUGUUCCUUGCAGUUCACCUCACUUUCCGUCCUUUGUAGAGCAGUGGUGUCUCCAAUGAACUUGUUUCCUGGUUUUGCAUCUUGUGAAAUGUUUUUUUGUAUUUUUGUUGAAGGUUAAACAUUUGUAUAAAUUGUAAAUAUAUUUGGUUUAUUACAGUAAAGGCUUUAG
Molecule: long non-coding RNA, 738 nt
Filed under: Homo sapiens (human)
Lineage: Eukaryota; Metazoa; Chordata; Mammalia; Primates; Hominidae
Description: HSALNT0150893
Source: RNAcentral